This is a long non-coding RNA of Pipistrellus kuhlii (Kuhl's pipistrelle), 188 nucleotides long. RefSeq lists it as uncharacterized. Lineage: Eukaryota; Metazoa; Chordata; Mammalia; Chiroptera; Vespertilionidae. The transcript is spliced from 2 exons. The record is from RefSeq and is a predicted model, not a curated record.
UUGAGUAUCAACCUAUGAACCAGAAGGUCACCGUUCAAUUCCAGUCAAGGGCACAUGCCCAGGUUGCAGGCUCAGUCCACAGUAGGUGGUAUGCAGAAGGCUGCCAAACAAUGAUUAUCUGUCAUCAUUGAUGUUGCUCUCUCUCUCUCUCCCUCUCCCUUCCUCUCUGAAAUCAAUAAAAACAUACU